UGAGCAGAACAGUCGACGAUCAUGUGACCGCGGCGAGCCAAUGAAGGCAGAUUACAAAAAAAAAAAAGAAAAAAAAGAGGAACACAUAUAUUUGUAAUUUUGGUUUAGAGAAACAUUUCUUUGGACCUCAAAAAACAACCACAGAACCGCAAGCUGUGAGCAAAAUUGAGAGACACACACGACCAGAUCCGGGAUAUUGGUCAGUAAAAGAGGACGCAACACUUUUUUUUUUUUCUAAUUUUGUCUGGAAACCACAGUGUCACAGACUGACACUUUUUCGGAACGCAGGAAGUGGAAGGAGAAAACCUCAAUGGCUUCGAACAGCAUCUUUGAGACGUUUCCUUUAUAUGCGCCAGGUUUCAUCAAGGAGAAAUGGAGAAAAUGUCUUUGUCCCUUCGUGAAAACCAAAUUUGCAAAAAUGAAAUCAAAUCCUUCACUAACAACGAUGUAUCUGUUAGACGCAUAUGGCGUAAGAUCCCAAAUACCAGAAAACCCAGGAAUCUUUUAUUCUCUUCUUCCUUUUAUUCAACUGGAAAACAUGAAAAAGAUACAAGUGAUGAGAAGCAGGACACAGUCCGGAACAGCGUCAGCCCGAGACCAAACCGCAUAGAUUUUUACAUUGUCUAAGAAAAAUUUCAUUUGACUAUUUUACUUAUUAAUUUUAUUAUUUUUUAAAUCUAAUUAUUAUUAUUAUUAUUGCUCUUUUUUUAUUGAUUUUGACAAAAUUGUAUUUUGAAAAAAAAAAACACUAACUGAAUUAUUACAAAAUAAUUUUUCUGAACACAGAAUAAUCAA
Long non-coding RNA from Bufo gargarizans (Asiatic toad), 795 nucleotides. RefSeq lists it as uncharacterized. NCBI's taxonomy places the organism in Eukaryota, Metazoa, Chordata, Amphibia, Anura, Bufonidae. The record is from RefSeq and is a predicted model, not a curated record. The transcript has 3 exons.